This 237-nucleotide ribosomal RNA is filed under the name uncultured Lactobacillus sp. Its description in RNAcentral is "partial 16S ribosomal RNA". It matches the Rfam family "Bacterial small subunit ribosomal RNA", at positions 123 to 354 of the family's 1533-position model. Lineage: Bacteria; Bacillati; Bacillota; Bacilli; Lactobacillales; Lactobacillaceae. The record is from RNAcentral.
AACCUGCCCAAGAGAUCGGGAUAACACCUGGAAACAGAUGCUAAUACCGGAUAACAAUAGAUGAUGCCUAUCAACUGUUUAAAAGAUGGUUCUGCUAUCACUCUUGGAUGGACCUGCGGUGCAUUAGCUAGUUGGUAGGGUAACGGCCUACCAAGGCGAUGAUGCAUAGCCGAGUUGAGAGACUGAUCGGCCACAUUGGGACUGAGACACGGCCCAAACUCCUACGGGAGGCAGCAG